CAAUUGUCCAGACAGAGGAUUGAGUUAACGAAUUGACGGUCUAUUAACCCAAUUUAACACAGGCUACUGUUUGGCCGUAGCCCACGCCAAAUAACUGAAAGGUACCCUACAAACCAACCGUGACCUUCUCUUGUGAAGGCCAAACGUAAUAGAGAGAACAAUGGCCAAACUUGGUCUUAGCCUCCAAUGCUCCAUCCCCCUGCCCAAACCACCCUCCACGCCACUCCGCCAACCACCAGGGUGCCCGGCAUCAGAACAUUCCAGGCAUUCCCGUGCUUGGCAUGUCGGACCCCGCGAACACUUGGUACUGAGUUCCCAGUUGUCUUGAAAGCACCAUCAAUCCAGAGAAUGCCAGAGUUUGAUGACAACAUUUUGACAAAAUGUGCCCACAAGGACUGCAGCACCACCUUCCUGUUCAAGUGAGCAUAGCACAAGGUCCAUUACCAGCCUUUGUAUCUCUCCUCCUCAAAUCUGUGGACCUGGCAAGGGGGAGGCCUUUUACGAGGGUGGAUGAGGCAGCAAUUCUAGCAUUAGGGGGUUUGCUUGUUGGUAGGUGCCGCUUAGCUGUCCUCUGAGCUCCCUUGUUGUUUCUGGAUGGAGCUGGCUUCAGGUUCUUGUCUACAGAGGGACACACAGAACUGGAGGCCGCCAUGGACGGCUACAUGUCAGGUGUGGAGGUGGGUCCUUGUGUUUUCAGAACUGGAGGCUGCCAUGGACGGCCACAUGUCAGGUGUGGAGGUGGGUCCUUGUGUUUUCAGAACUGGAGGCUGCCAUGGACGGCUACAUGUCAGGUGUGGAGGUGGGUCCUUGUGUUUUCAGAACUGGAGGCUGCCAUGGACGGCUACAUGUCAGGUGUGGAGGUGGGUCCUUGUGUUUUCAGAACUGGAGGCUGCCAUGGACGGCUACAUGUCAGGUGUGGAGGUGGGUCCUUGUGUUUUCAGAACUGGAGGCUGCCAUGGACGGCCACAUGUCAGGUGUGGAGGUGGGUCCUUGUGUUUUCAGAACUGGAGGCUGCCAUGGACGGCUACAUGUCAGGUGUGGAGGUGGGUCCUUGUGUUUUCAGAACUGGAGGCUGCCAUGGACGGCUACAUGUCAGGUGUGGAGGUGGGUCCUUGUGUUUUCAGAACUGGAGGCUGCCAUGGACGGCUACAUGUCAGGUGUGGAGGUGGGUCCUUGUGUUUUCCAACACGCCGUUGGGCUCUCUCCUCUCUUUCCCUCAGGUGCAUUUUUAUUCUGUCACACUCCAGUUGGGCCUUUUGCACUUUCCUCCUCCUCAAGGUGUUGAGCUGCCUUAUCCAGCCUAUGUAGCUGUGAUAACCAAAAUAAAGCAUUAGUCGAUACACUGAAAGCGUGGAUAACAAAUAUUCCGAUAUAUAGAAACUAAUGUUAAAACAUGUUACCUUCUUUGUUUACGGUCUGUAGAGUUAUCGACUGCAUUGAUGAUAGUCCCAAAGCCUAUUGAAACCUCUAUUCAUCUUGAGUAAUAGAUCUUGGGGAAACUGAGACUCUCCCUGAGACUCUCCCAAACUGCAACAAGUGAAGAUGUGCAGCAACCGAUCGGAGAUUAGUGGGCAUCACUGGGGCUGGGGGUGUAGACUCCCUGCUGUCACCUGUAGUAUCUGCUGGUCAUCUCAAAUCUCUGAGUAGAACCUGACUGUAUU
Long non-coding RNA from Oncorhynchus keta (chum salmon), 1661 nucleotides. RefSeq lists it as uncharacterized. The transcript has 4 exons. NCBI's taxonomy places the organism in Eukaryota, Metazoa, Chordata, Actinopteri, Salmoniformes, Salmonidae. The record is from RefSeq and is a predicted model, not a curated record.